Molecule: small RNA, 979 nt
Filed under: Rattus norvegicus (Norway rat)
Lineage: Eukaryota; Metazoa; Chordata; Mammalia; Rodentia; Muridae
Description: uncharacterized LOC102554309
Source: RNAcentral
GACCUGGGGACGGAGGUUAAAAUACAGGAUAGUGACAACCCAGACUAGACUUCCCUCCUCCAGACCCUUUCCCCAGAGACGUCUUGUUCAUCCCCAUCCCCACCUUGGUAAGUCUGGCAGGAGCCAUACUCUCUUUCCAGGGCCAGCUCUAACAGUAUCAGAAUCUCUGCCCCUGUCCCACCCCUCUCUCCUCAGCAGAGCUUAUGUUCCUGAAGGAAAAUGGCCACAACCAAAGGGUUCAUCAUGGCUUCCCUGGCUCCUGACAUGAAAUGAAGGUCAGCAGGGUGAAUGGGCCUCUAAGCACGCCUUUAUCCCACGGCCUCCACCCCUUCAAGAAGCUGCCUACACCAAGAUCCUGAGUGGCAUGAGAUAGGACCAAAGAGAGACUCCUUGGACCAGAGGCAAUAGGAUUCCAAGGCUCUUCCGUGGACCGAACUACUGCAGGACAAGACCACAUCCAGUAUUGCUCCAACCCAUCCUUUAGACAUGCAUGAUGCAAGCAUGAGAGGACUCUACACUUCAGGAUUUCUCUGGUUAAACCUUCGCGGGAGCCACACCAUUCACCUCUACUGUGGUUGCACAAACGCAAGCUUAUGGGAGGAUAAGCUGGCCUUUCACCCCAGAAACUACCAGGUCGCAGGCCUGGUGAGAGGGCUCAGCAGGGAAAGGUGCUGCUGCCAAGCCUGAAGGCUUGUGUGUAGUUCCUAGCACCGUACGGUAGAAGGAGGCCCUGACUCCUGCCAUCUGUCCUCUGACCUCCACAUGUAUUCAGUGGCACAUGUACACUCACCUCCCCACCCCACAUACACAAGAUCAAUUUUAAAACGAGAAACUUGAGUUGUAAUUUAAAAAAAAAAAAAGAAAUCGCGAGCUAUCAAAUUUUACAGAUGCUCAAAUCCCUGGGUAUUACUUAUGACCUGCAUGAAUCCUCCCCACCACUUCAAAGUCUCUGUAGGUCACUAUUAAUACCUACAAAGGG